RNAcentral lists this ribosomal RNA (411 nucleotides) under uncultured prokaryote. Its description in RNAcentral is "bacterial SSU rRNA". It matches the Rfam family "Bacterial small subunit ribosomal RNA", at positions 505 to 918 of the family's 1533-position model. The record is from RNAcentral.
GUGUCAGCAGCCGCGGUAAUACGGAGGAUGCGAGCGUUAUCCGGAUUUAUUGGGUUUAAAGGGUGCGUAGGCGGAUUAAUAAGUCAGUGGUGAAAACCUUCAGCUUAACUGGAGACUUGCCAUUGAUACUGUUAGUCUUGAGUACGGUCAAGGUAGGCGGAAUGUGUAAUGUAGCGGUGAAAUGCUUAGAUAUUACACAGAACACCGAUUGCGAAGGCAGCUUACUGGGCCAUUACUGACGCUGAUGCACGAAAGCGUGGGGAGCGAACAGGAUUAGAUACCCUGGUAGUCCACGCCGUAAACGAUGAUCACUCGCUGUUGGCGAUACACAGUCAGCGGCUAAGCAAAAGCAUUAAGUGAUCCACCUGGGGAGUACGGCCGCAAGGCUGAAACUUAAAUGAAUUGACGGGG